GUCCAUGCACAAAUCUGGAGAAUGACGGCAUCCUCUGUAACUGUGUAUGUAUAUGGAAGUGUGUGAUUUAUUGCAUAAUUGCAAAAUUGGACAUAAAUUGACCACACUUUACUGAGAUGUAGCUCAGAAGAGAAAAGUCAUCAGAGCAAGAAUUUAUACCUCAACUUGACUUAAAACUACUGGGAACGAUUUUGAUCAAUUAUUUUUAUCCAAAGAUGAAUACCUUCGGAAUUCGAAACGUAAACGUCCUUUGCGCCGGAGGUGGGGGCGGUUCUGAUGGCGGCGGUGGGGGUGGUGGUGGCGGAUUUGGGGGUGGGAAUGGCGGAAAUGGUGGCAAGUGAUUGAGAUCCAUUAUGAUUGGGGGAAAUAUUGAAACAUUUGAAUAAAUAUUGUUGCAAUUAAAAA
Molecule: long non-coding RNA, 405 nt
Organism: Folsomia candida
Lineage: Eukaryota; Metazoa; Arthropoda; Collembola; Entomobryomorpha; Isotomidae
Exons: 3
Source: RefSeq, a predicted model, not a curated record